CGCGCAAAUCUCCUCCGCGCGGUUGUCGUCACGUGACCACGAUGUGCGCGCGAAAGAGGGAAAAGAAGAAGCUGAAGGAAAUGUGUUGGACAAGAGUUACGCAAAUGCGCUACAAAAAUUUAUGUAUAACCUAACGUAACCAUCGUGAAGUUUGCCUCCGAUCACAUAUCGAAUGAAGUUAGUUUAUUAUCGCGACGCAUAGAUACAAAAAUGUCUGAAAAUUCCACGGAUUCUACCGUAAACGAAGAAGAAGAAGAAGAAGAAGAAGAAGAAGAACAAAGAGAUCGUAAUGUCAAAUCGGGUAGGAUAGCGAGGCGCUUGAAGGCUCUAAUUUGUUGCUUCGGGCGCGAACAAUCGCGCGAGGAGAUUCCCGAGUACAAUCCCGACGAAUACGAUUACAUCGUCGAAAAGCUCGUCGUGAGGCGCGUGCCGAUCGCGCUGUUCGCGAUCCCGAACGAUUUACGAAAUCGGCGCGGACCGGACGCAUCGGCGGCAUCGCUGACGUCAAGCGUCACUUCCGCAUCAGCGUCCACAUCCACGUUCGGUGGAAGUAGUAUUGUUGUCGCACGCGAGACGUAUCUCGCGGAUAAACCUUCCGACGAGGACCGAGUCUCGAUUGGAAAAAAGCGGCAGGUUCGUGUGAAUUUAAAAGAAUUCAAGAUGUCGCCGAAAUAUUCAACGAAUAUUCCAGAAAGCAAGCGAUUGUGUUUCGCACCGAAUAUUUCUGGAGUAAGACCGUUCAGCGCGGUCUCUUCCAAGACGGCAUCAUCUGUGAUCACCCAAGAUGGUACUUUGGACAAAUUCGUUCCUCGUGUAUCGAAUUCCAAUUUCGAGAGUAAAAAACCUGGUAAGAGGCUCGAGUUCUCUUCUCAAGCGGAAGAGAACUCGAGCCAUUUGCAAGGCGCAUCCAUCGGAAAGGUUCGGGAUAAUUUGAUUCCCGCGCGAAACAGAAGGUACAUAGUGUCGCCCUUCCGAGUGCAAAGAGGUUCCUUCGAUCUCGCGAAACCGAUGAGCGUCGUCGGAGACUCGAACGACAAAUCGUUGACGUAUGUCGAAAAAUCAGUCGAGAACGAACUCUCGGAACCGAUAGAGAAUUCAAAAGAAGACGAUCCCAGAUCGAAUGCAGCAAUGAGAUGGCGAAUCACCGUCAAACACCGGCGCAAGAACGCGGAUUCCGACUUGUAAAUUUGUUCAAACAAGCACGAAAGAAGAGAAUUUUUAUAACUUCAACGAUUCGCGCUAUGUAAUACAAUGGAGAUAUUUAAAAAAAAAAAACAAAACUCGAUAAUAAUAGAAUCGCAAAGAGAUUCAAUUGUAAAAUAUAUUUUUAUGGAGAAUAAUUUUUUCCGAGCUGCGUAAUUACAAAAGAGCGAAACUUUAUAUCGAUGAGAACGGCAGCCUCAUGUUUUUUUUGCGCCAGCCAGCUGUCCACCCGCGUCCGUACUGUGGUCUGUAGGUUUUUCCGCACCUGUGGACGUUGCCGUGGCGACGACAGUGAUGUGUCGUAAUGGCAGCGAUCGAGAUAUUUUCGAGCUCCGUGACUUAUAAGUAUAAAAGUAAAAUAUAUUCAUGUGCCUCGACUGUUGUUUUCUUACUGAUCGUGUUAUCUCUGCUCACGCCGCUCCUUAUAAUCUACCAUACCGGAGGUUUCUUGAUGAAAAAUCGAAUGCACGCUGAAACGCCGGACGUGCACUUUGAAUACAAAUAUUUGUUGCUCGCCGAAGUAGAUCCCUACGAGAAGCCAAUCGUGUGUUCUACUUUUAAAACGUACAAGGAAAAUGCGAUCGAAGAUCACUGCACACUAGUCAAGGUACUGGAGAACGAUCUGAAUCGCGACGGUCAAAAAGAUUCGUUGAAAUUUGAAGCGUACUUUUACACGAAUAAACCGGUGAAAUCUCUCAGACUCUUGUUGUUCUUCAAUUUUCAGUUAAAGCAUCUCAUACAAGCAACGAUAGAGUCUGUCGGUGUGUUUGAUCAAGUGUUAAAUCAAGAAGCUCAAGAGAUACGAUUCUUCGGCGAUUUGGAGCUGCGGCAAAAAGGACUUUUGCGUAGCGAAGGUCUUUACGAAAACUACAACCACAGCAUAGAAUUGGCCGAUUAUUCUCUACCCGAUUUGCUACUGUAUACUUUCAACAGAAAAUUUUCAGCUAGAAUUACAAACGAGCGGGUAACGUGGCGUGCUGGUUUUUCUAGUGAUGAAACGGUAGCCGUUAUUGGCGAAUUGUUUUACGCAGAGAACUUUAUUUUCUAUCAGCCGAGUGUAUGGGAAGAAUUGAAGUGGGCGUGGAUUCAAUAUCUAUCAUGUUUACUGGUGUUCGCAUACGUGGCCAAGCAUGUCCUGGUGUUUCUGUUCACCAACAGAUAUCUCAGCACGUAUAUUGUAAAGCCAUGGAUGAAUAAAUAGGUGGUAAAUAAACAAACAUCACCCACAUAAGUCCACAUCUUUUUUGCGCGAAGCAACUUUUAAAAAAUAUUUUUAUAUCUCUUAUAUAUAUAAAAGCAGUUUUAAAAAACAACAUCUCUAUGUUCUUAACACGUGUUUACGCUAUCGGUCGCGAUAUCGGCGUAUGUAAAUU
RNA transcript from Pseudomyrmex gracilis, 2576 nucleotides. It is a transcript of the gene named transmembrane protein 231-like, with no coding region annotated. The record is from RefSeq and is a predicted model, not a curated record. The transcript has 7 exons. Lineage: Eukaryota; Metazoa; Arthropoda; Insecta; Hymenoptera; Formicidae.